AGUGAACGCUGGCGGUAGGCCUAACACAUGCAAGUCGAACGGCAGCACAGUAAGAGCUUGCUCUUACGGGUGGCGAGUGGCGGACGGGUGAGGUAUACAUCGGAAUCUACUUUUUCGUGGGGGAUAACGUAGGGAAACUUACGCUAAUACCGCAUACGACCUACGGGUGAAAGCAGGGGAUCUUCGGACCUUGCGCGAUUGAAUGAGCCGAUGUCGGAUUAGCUAGUUGGCGGGGUAAAGGCCCACCAAGGCGACGAUCCGUAGCUGGUCUGAGAGGAUGAUCAGCCACACUGGAACUGAGACACGGUCCAGACUCCUACGGGAGGCAGCAGUGGGGAAUAUUGGACAAUGGGCGCAAGCCUGAUCCAGCCAUACCGCGUGGGUGAAGAAGGCCUUCGGGUUGUAAAGCCCUGUUGUUGUGAAAGAAAAGCAGCAGGUUAAUACCCCGCUGUUCUGACAGUACCCAAAGAAUAAGCACCGGCUAACUUCGUG
RNAcentral lists this ribosomal RNA (492 nucleotides) under uncultured bacterium. Its description in RNAcentral is "partial 16S ribosomal RNA". It matches the Rfam family "Bacterial small subunit ribosomal RNA", at positions 29 to 507 of the family's 1533-position model. The record is from RNAcentral.